Small nucleolar RNA from Acipenser ruthenus (sterlet), 130 nucleotides. NCBI's taxonomy places the organism in Eukaryota, Metazoa, Chordata, Actinopteri, Acipenseriformes, Acipenseridae. The record is from RefSeq and is a predicted model, not a curated record.
AGGCACAUUUCAUUAUCCUGUUCUCUCUGCUAGUGAGAGCUGAGAUUUCUAAUGCGCUAGAUAAAGAAUGGAGGUAAAUUUAGCAGUGUGGUUUCACAGUGCCAUUACUGCCAGUCACCUUUAGACAGUU